UCCCUGGUAGUCCAAUGGGUAGGACUCUGCAUUUCCACUGCAGAGGGCACAGGUUCCAUCCCCAGUCAGGGAA
Bos taurus (domestic cattle) is the source of this 73-nucleotide non-coding RNA. Lineage: Eukaryota; Metazoa; Chordata; Mammalia; Artiodactyla; Bovidae. The record is from Rfam.